AUGGAGACUUUCGGCAGUUGGUUGAGAAAACAUUUAAUGAAUGACAAUGAUGUUGUAGAUCAGCUGUACAUGUUGGCCAAGACACCAUCUUCGACUAUAACGACUUUCCAAGGGUACGAGAUAAAUGGGAAUACAUUUUACACGAUCGUCCAAGAUAAAAAGAGCACCAACCAAAACAGUGGUGUCCGCUUUGAUGCAGCAACCGAGAAUGGGCAAAAGGUCACAUAUUAUGGUUACAUAGAGGAGAUAUGGAAACUUGACUAUGGACCCUCCUUUAAGGUCCCUUUGUUCCGGUGCAAAUGGUUCAAGCUAACAGGAGGUGGGGUAAAGGUGGACGAGCAAUACGGAAUGACAAUGGUGGAUUUCAACAAUCUUGGUUACCUUGACGAACCAUUCGUCCUUGCCAAAGAUGUCGCUCAGGUUUUUUAUUUGAAGGACAUGAGUAGCAAACCGAGGAAACGGAAAGAUAAGAAAACGAUCAGUACAUCAUGCGAUGAUCCAAAGCGCCACAUUGUUCUUUCAGGGAAAAGAAACAUCGUGGGAGUGGAGGACAAGACAGACAUGUCAGAAGAUUAUAAUAUGUUUGGUGAAAUUCCGCCCUUCAAAGUGAACAUUGACCCAAGCAUUAAGUUAAAUGAUGAGGAUGCUCCACGGAUACGGCACAAUCGUAAGCAAGCAGGGACACAAGGGAAGAAUUGA
RNAcentral lists this ribosomal RNA (699 nucleotides) under Triticum aestivum (bread wheat). RNAcentral's name for it is "partial small subunit ribosomal RNA". Lineage: Eukaryota; Viridiplantae; Streptophyta; Magnoliopsida; Poales; Poaceae. The record is from RNAcentral.